UGACGAGUUUGAUCCUGGCUCAGAACGAACGCUGGCGGCGUGGAUAAGACAUGCAAGUCGAACGGGGCAGUUUUGUAGCAAUACCGAACUGUUCAGUGGCGAACGGGUGCGUAACACGUGGAUAACAUACCGGAAAGCGAGGAAUAGCCCAGGGAAACUUGGAUUAAUACCUCAUGUGGUCGCAAGACUAAAGGCGGGGCAACCUGUCGCUUUCUGAUUGGUCCGCGGCCUAUCAGCUAGUUGGCGGGGUAACGGCCCACCAAGGCGACGACGGGUAGCUGGUCUGAGAGGAUGACCAGCCACACUGGAACUGAGACACGGUCCAGACACCUACGGGUGGCAGCAGUCGAGAAUCAUUCACAAUGGGGGCAACCCUGAUGGUCGCGACGG
RNAcentral lists this ribosomal RNA (390 nucleotides) under uncultured Verrucomicrobium sp. RNAcentral's name for it is "bacterial SSU rRNA". It matches the Rfam family "Bacterial small subunit ribosomal RNA", at positions 1 to 397 of the family's 1533-position model. Lineage: Bacteria; Pseudomonadati; Verrucomicrobiota; Verrucomicrobiia; Verrucomicrobiales; Verrucomicrobiaceae. The record is from RNAcentral.